AUAUUAUAAAUCAAUCGUCACCGAAAUAAAUAAAAAUGGCGGUGCUGACGAAGAAGACUUUAUUCUAUCAAAUAAUUUUUAUUUUAUUUUUAUUUGUUACAACUGCGUUUGGUAGAAUUCAUAAAAUCACAAGUAAACAUUCAAAUGACUGCAAAAGAACUCUGACAAGAUUUGGAUUUCUGAAAGAUGGAUUCCUUCACGUUAAGUUUGAUUUGCUUCCGAAAUAUAAUAUGGAAGGUCGAAUGGGGUUUUUACUUACCAGACAUCUAACAUCAACUAAAAGUGGAGAAAUAGAACAAAAGAUGUCAUGUGGAACUAAUGAAACAGGUGGUAAAAGUAUGUGCUUUAGCGAGAAGAUUCCCCAGCAGACAAAUUCUUCGAAACUAUGGUUUUUUGAAUUUCAUAAAAAAGCAUUACGAAUAGACAGAUAUGGAAAUAAUUUUAAUGACUUAUAUAUAACAACUUGGAAUGAAAGCAAAUUUGAAUAUAAUUGGAGAAAAUUUAACAUGAAUACACAAGAAUUAAAGAAUUUAAGUUGUUCUGCUACACCAACUGCUGUGAAAGAUGGUAUUUGUAAUAAUAGUAUUCCUAUUACUGAUGUAGAAUUACAUCCUCAAGUGCAGUUUCUCAUACCUAUUAACGGUAAAGGGGAAGGAUAUUAUGGUUUAUACUUUUGUAAUGCAAGAGAUAUAUCUGUUAACUACACGGUUUAUUUGAUUGAAAAGAAUUCUCAGGGUUAUCUUAGUGCCAGUGAAAUUCCCCUGCCCACAGAAUUCUUUGUCUUUAGUGCUAUAUACUUUAUUCUUUCAACUUUUUAUUUGAUCUACUUGAAACGAUCUAAGGAAGAUGUAUAUAAAAUUCACUACUGUAUGACUGGACUUGGCUAUGUAAAAUGUAUUGCUAUACUAUUCCAUGGUUUAAACUAUCUUAUCAUCCUAAGAGAUGGACACCAACAAUUAGCUUUUUCCGUCCUAUAUUACAUCACUCAUCUGAUGAAAGGAAUAUUUCUGUUUGGCACUAUAGUGUUUAUCGGUGCUGGUUGGACUUUUAUCAAGUUUGUUCUGUCAAAUAGAGAGAAAAAAGUUUUCCUGAUCGUUAUCCCAUUACAAAUACUAAAUAAUUUCGCCUAUAUAAUGCUAGAAGAAACCGAUAAAGUCGAUGAUAGCUCAAGAAUGUGGAAGCAAAUCAGCAUAUUUGUCGACUUAUUGUGUUGCAUGGCAAUUCUCUUUCCCGUUGUCUGGUUUGUUAAAAAUAACAUAACCUUUUGCGCAAAAACGAUUUUAAAUAAUAUAUACUAAAAAAUUAUAUUACGAUUAUAGGUCUAUUCAUCAUCUAACUAAGGCAGCAAAGACAGACGGAAAAGCUAUUAUCAAUUUGAAAAAAUUAAAAAUGUUUAGAAAAUUUUACCUUUUGGUUAUCUGCUAUAUAUACUUUACCAGAAUAAUCGUUUAUUGUCUGUUGGUUGUACCUUUUAGGCAUGAAAAAUGGAUUUUUAAUUUAUGCAGAGAAUUGGGCACUUUUGUUUUCUUUAUUAUUACUGCUUAUACAUUCAGACCGACUUCGAAUAACCCUUACCUGCAGGUAAUAAAACAGAAAGUCAUAUGAUUAACAUAUCAUUAUUACAAUAUAAUAGUGAUAACGGUGGUUUUAAAAAAUAAUUUUUAUAGGUGCCUGAUGAAGAGGAAGAAAUGCAGGAGGUGUAAGUAAAAAAAAAGAUAUAUUAAUGAUAAUAUUUAACAUAAAAAAAAAUUAACAUUUUCAAUGAUUCUUAUAUUAUUCAAUCGAAUAUUCAGAUUGACAACACCUGGCGCAUAUGACAACUUAAAAAAAGUAAAUAUCAAAGAAAAAUCCACAGACGAUAACGUUGAAAUAAAGCAGAGGGAAAUUUCUCAUGAUUUAGACUAGUCAAUAAAAAGAAAAGGAAAAACUUUUGAUACAAAAUAUUUAAAAGAAACAAAAAAUAAAAAUUAAAUAUUGCAUAUUUUUUAUUUGUACAUAGAAAGUAGUUAUUUUAAUUUAUGUUUUUCAAACAAUAAACUCAUACUUUGACGACAGCG
Molecule: unclassified non-coding RNA, 2057 nt
Filed under: Dimorphilus gyrociliatus
Lineage: Eukaryota; Metazoa; Annelida; Polychaeta; Dinophilidae
Description: dgyrCDS4179
Source: RNAcentral